Molecule: ribosomal RNA, 197 nt
Filed under: uncultured bacterium
Lineage: Bacteria
Description: partial 16S ribosomal RNA
Rfam family: Bacterial small subunit ribosomal RNA
Source: RNAcentral
ACGCUCGACACCUACGGGAGCAGCAGUGGGGAAUAUUGCACAAUGGGGGAAACCCUGAUGCAGCGACGCCGCGUGAGUGAAGAAGUAUUUCGGUAUGUAAAGCUCUAUCAGCAGGGAAGAAGAUGACGGUACCUGAGUAAGAAGCCCCGGCUAACUACGUGCCGGCAGCCGCGGUAAUCUGAGCGGGCUGGCAAGGC